Molecule: long non-coding RNA, 360 nt
Organism: Phycodurus eques (leafy seadragon)
Lineage: Eukaryota; Metazoa; Chordata; Actinopteri; Syngnathiformes; Syngnathidae
Exons: 3
Source: RefSeq, a predicted model, not a curated record
GGAAGUCGCUGACGCCAGCUGAGCAGCUCAGAUACUUCCAAGAAUCUGAGCGCCACCAGGUACCCGGACUGGACCGACAGAGACAACUUCGACAAAAGAGAAAGUGGGGCAGUGCAGCCACCAGCGUAAAUCAUCUGACUGCGCCUGCACCAGAGCUUUUGGUACCGGCCCCAGUGCCCUCAACAGGGCCCGACGAGGACCUCGUGUCCAGUAUUUUAUUGGGGGACACAGACUUUGGGGGCUCCGCACUGAGCCUGGAUGUGGGGCCCGAGGUGGACCUGACGGUGGCCUUGUACAGGCAGCUUGAAGCACUGGAGGCGGAGGAAGCGGCCGGAUCGGAGCAUAGACUUUAAAUGUAUU